Molecule: ribosomal RNA, 56 nt
Filed under: Laimosemion breviceps
Lineage: Eukaryota; Metazoa; Chordata; Actinopteri; Cyprinodontiformes; Rivulidae
Description: partial 16S ribosomal RNA
Source: RNAcentral
UACCCAAUAGCUAGCUUAGAUAACUAAAAUCAACAAACAGUAUUAAUAACCCAAAA